UGCAGUCGAGCGAUGAACUCCAGCUUGCUGGGGGGAUUAGUGGCGAACGGGUGAGUAACACGUGAGUAACCUGCCCUUAACUCUGGGAUAAGCCUGGGAAACUGGGUCUAAUACUGGAUAUUGACUUUUCACCGCAUGGUGGUUGGUUGAAAGAUUUAUUGGUUUUGGAUGGACUCGCGGCCUAUCAGCUUGUUGGUGAGGUAAUGGCUCACCAAGGCGACGACGGGUAGCCGGCCUGAGAGGGUGACCGGCCACACUGGGACUGAGACACGGCCCAGACUCCUACGGGAGGCAGCAGUGGGGAAUAUUGCACAAUGGGCGAAAGCCUGAUGCAGCGACGCCGCGUGAGGGAUGACGGCCUUCGGGUUGUAAACCUCUUUCAGUAGGGAACAAGGCCAGCAUUUUUGUUGGUUGAGGGUACUUGCAGAAGAAGCGCCGGCUAACUACGUGCCAGCAGCCGCGGUAAUACGUAGGGCGCAAGCGUUAUCCGGAAUUAUUGGGCGUAAAGAGCUCGUAGGCGGUUUGUCGCGUCUGCCGUGAAAGUCCGGGGCUCAACUCCGGAUCUGCGGUGGGUACGGGCAGACUAGAGUGAUGUAGGGGAGACUGGAAUUCCUGGUGUAGCGGUGAAAUGCGCAGAUAUCAGGAGGAACACCGAUGGCGAAGGCAGGUCUCUGGGCAUUAACUGACGCUGAGGAGCGAAAGCAUGGGGAGCGAACAGGAUUAGAUACCCUGGUAGUCCAUGCCGUAAACGUUGGGCACUAGGUGUGGGGGACAUUCCACGUUUUCCGCGCCGUAGCUAACGCAUUAAGUGCCCCGCCUGGGGAGUACGGCCGCAAGGCUAAAACUCAAAGGAAUUGACGGGGGCCCGCACAAGCGGCGGAGCAUGCGGAUUAAUUCGAUGCAACGCGAAGAACCUUACCAAGGCUUGACAUGAACUGGAAACACCUGGAAACAGGUGCCCCGCUUGCGGUCGGUUUACAGGUGGUGCAUGGUUGUCGUCAGCUCGUGUCGUGAGAUGUUGGGUUAAGUCCCGCAACGAGCGCAACCCUCGUUCUAUGUUGCCAGCACGUAAUGGUGGGGACUCAUAGGAGACUGCCGGGGUCAACUCGGAGGAAGGUGAGGACGACGUCAAAUCAUCAUGCCCCUUAUGUCUUGGGCUUCACGCAUGCUACAAUGGCCGGUACAAUGGGUUGCGAUACUGUGAGGUGGAGCUAAUCCCAAAAAGCCGGUCUCAGUUCGGAUUGGGGUCUGCAACUCGACCCCAUGAAGUCGGAGUCGCUAGUAAUCGCAGAU
Molecule: ribosomal RNA, 1293 nt
Filed under: Arthrobacter sp. MVS1-P4
Lineage: Bacteria; Bacillati; Actinomycetota; Actinomycetes; Micrococcales; Micrococcaceae
Description: bacterial SSU rRNA
Rfam family: Bacterial small subunit ribosomal RNA
Source: RNAcentral